RNAcentral lists this ribosomal RNA (237 nucleotides) under uncultured bacterium. Its description in RNAcentral is "partial 16S ribosomal RNA". It matches the Rfam family "Bacterial small subunit ribosomal RNA", at positions 96 to 334 of the family's 1533-position model. The record is from RNAcentral.
CGGCGGACGGGUGAGUAACGCGUGGGUAACCUGCCUCAUACAGGGGGAUAACAGUUGGAAACGGCUGCUAAUACCGCAUAAGCGCACAGUACCGCAUGGUACGGUGUGAAAAACUCCGGUGGUAUGAGAUGGACCCGCGUCUGAUUAGGUAGUUGGUGGGUAACGGCCUACCAAGCCGACGAUCAGUAGCCGACCUGAGAGGGUGACCGGCCACAUUGGGACUGAGACACGGCCCAA